Molecule: ribosomal RNA, 253 nt
Filed under: uncultured bacterium
Lineage: Bacteria
Description: partial 16S ribosomal RNA
Rfam family: Bacterial small subunit ribosomal RNA
Source: RNAcentral
UACGUAGGGGGCAAGCGUUGUCCGGAAUCAUUGGGCGUAAAGCGCGUGUAGGCGGUUCGGUAAGUCUGCUGUGAAAGUCCAGGGCUUAACCCUCGGAUGCCGGUGGAUACUGUCGGGCUUGAGUACGGAAGAGGCGAGUGGAAUUCCUGGUGUAGCGGUGAAAUGCGCAGAUAUCAGGAGGAACACCAAUUGCGAAGGCAACUCGCUGGGACGUUACUGACGCUGAGACGCGAAAGCGUGGGGAGCAAACAGG